This 856-nucleotide ribosomal RNA is filed under the name Hirtodrosophila alboralis. RNAcentral's name for it is "eukaryotic LSU rRNA". It matches the Rfam family "Eukaryotic large subunit ribosomal RNA", at positions 58 to 768 of the family's 3401-position model. The record is from RNAcentral. Lineage: Eukaryota; Metazoa; Arthropoda; Insecta; Diptera; Drosophilidae.
AAAGAAACUAACAAGGAUUUUCUUAGUAGCGGCGAGCGAAAAGAAAUCAGUUCAGCACUAAGUCACUUUGUCUAUAUGGCAAAUGUGAGAUGCAGUGUAUGGAACAUCAAAAUUCUAGUAUGAGAAAUUAACGAUUUAAGUCCUUCUUAAAUGAGGCCAUUUACCCAAAGAGGGUGCCAGGCCCGUAUAACGUUAAUGAUUACUAGAUGGUGUUUCCAAAGAGUCGUGUUGCUUGAUAGUGCAGCACUAAGUUGGUGGUAAACUCCAUCUAAAACUAAAUAUAACCAUGAGACCGAUAGUAAACAAGUACCGUGAGGGAAAGUUGAAAAGAACUCUGAAUAGAGAGUUAAAUAGUACGUGAAACUGCUUAGAGGUUAAGCCCGAUGAACCUGAAUAUCCGUUAUGGAAAAUUCAUCAUUAGAGUUGUAGUAUUUAAAUAAUAUUAUAAUAAUAGUGUGCAUUUUUUCCAUAUAAGGACAUUGUAAUCUAUUAGCAAAAUAAAUUUAUCAAAAAAUUGUGAAUUAUUGCUUAUUUGAAUUAUUAUGCUUGCAUUUUAACAUAAAAUAAAUGUCAUAAAUUUGAUAAAGUGCUGAUAGAUUAAUAUGAGUACAGUGCGUUAAUUUUUCGAAAUUAUAUAAUGGCAUAAUUAUCAUUGAUUUUUGUGUUUAUUAUAUGCACUUGUAUGAUUAACAAUGCGAAAGAUUCAGGAUACCUUCGGGACCCGUCUUGAAACACGGACCAAGGAGUCUAACAUAUGUGCAAGUUAUUGGGAUAUAAACCUAAUGGCGUAAUUAACUUGACUAUUAAUGGGAUUAGUUUUUUAACUAAUUUAGUUAAUUAACACAAUCCCGGGGCG